GAUGAACGCUGGCGGCGUGCUUAACACAUGCAAGUCGAGCGAGAAGUUUUGAAAAGAUUCUUCGGAUGAAAUUUAAAAUGGAAAGCGGCGGACGGCUGAGUAACGCGUAGGCAACCUGCCCCAUACAAAGGGAUAGCAUUUGGAAACGAAUAUUAAUACCUUAUGAAACUUAACUAGUGCAUGCUAGGUAGGUCAAAGAUUUAUCGGUAUGGGAUGGGCCUGCGUCUGAUUAGCUAGUUGGUGAGGUAACGGCUCACCAAGGCGACGAUCAGUAGCCGACCUGAGAGGGUGAACGGCCACAUUGGAACUGAGACACGGUCCAAACUCCUACGGGAGGCAGCAGUGGGGAAUAUUGCACAAUGGGGGAAACCCUGAUGCAGCAACGCCGCGUGAACGAUGAAGGCCUUUGGGUCGUAAAGUUCUGUUCUAGGUGAUGAAAACUGACAGUAACCUAGGAGAAAGCCCCGGCUAACUCCGUG
Molecule: ribosomal RNA, 479 nt
Filed under: uncultured bacterium
Lineage: Bacteria
Description: partial 16S ribosomal RNA
Rfam family: Bacterial small subunit ribosomal RNA
Source: RNAcentral